This 271-nucleotide unclassified non-coding RNA is filed under the name Hevea brasiliensis (rubber tree). The record is from RNAcentral. Lineage: Eukaryota; Viridiplantae; Streptophyta; Magnoliopsida; Malpighiales; Euphorbiaceae.
GUUUUGUUCAUGAUCACACUCUUGACAAAGACAAACUCCAACCUAAAUUAGUAAAGUGUGUCUUUUUAGGAUAUUAUCAUCUUCAAAAAGGAUGCAAAUUCUAUGAUCCAACUACAAAUAGAUAUUUUGUGUCAGCAGAUGUAACUUUCUUUGAAAUGUCUCCCUACUUUUCAUCCAACACAGCAGACAUAAAUAUCAUUCCUAAUGCCUUGCCAAUUCUCGCUAUUCCACCACUUCGAGUCAAUCUACCUCCUCUCCAAGUCUCCUCUCG